CAGCUUCCACUGUAAACAGCCUGGCAUUGGCGGAAUCAUGGUCGACGCGAUGGUAAUGAUGGAUCAUACUUGGUUCCAAGUAAUUGAGAGUAAGUCUGGCCCAGAUCACACAUACAGUGCCUGUGCCCAAAAAACUCAAGUACCCCUCAAAAACGAGGAAGCAAGAGGGCAAUAAUAACUCCCACAAGAAAAACACCUAAACAUGAACAUAUAAGGAUUAAACUGGAUGAAAAAACCAGACACAACAAACGGUCCAUCGAAUAGAAAUCUUUUCUGAAAGAAUGACAGUCAGAAAUUACGAAAAGAUGGCGAGUCAGAAAACAGUUUCUGGAACAACUGUGCAAUUGCCAUGAACAACAUGUUUGGUGAAAAAAACAGAACAGGUUCCUGCUCUCCAAGAGAAGUUGCAGGGCAUAUAUUGUCUUCUUCAUUGAGAGGAAGUAUCGUUGUAGAACUUUUAAAUGAAAUUGAAUAUGCAGCAAAAGAAUGCUACAACAAGGACAGUGUUUUAGCCCAAAAGGAUUUCUGUGACCUGGCUGAAUUUAAAUGGCAUGAACUCAUUGAUGAACUAUUAGAGCAACAGCCACUGCUAGCUGAUAUUCUCUUGGCUGUGUCUCUACCAACCUCUAAGAUAGGGAAUACAAAAUCUGUUCAGAGACUAAUACUGGUCAUAUCUACUGUGUUUGGAAUGUUGAUGAAUACAGGAUACCAGGAGUUGUCGAGUCGUUACAACUCGUUAGUUCAAAAGAUAAUCGCAAUGACUUUAGCUAAAGAACAAACAUGCCCAAAAUUACAUUUAGUUUCAACUGUGUUUCUUUUUUUCUUCAAAUGUUUUGUUUAAGCCCAAAAACACAAAAUAUGACUUAACACCUUGUUUAUAGAAUGGAAUAUUGUAAAGUGUGCAAUUUAUAUUUAAUCAUUUUAUGAGUAACUCAAGAGAAAAUUUCAUUAAAAAGUUGCCAAACUCAGCUGUGAAUGAAUGUUUGUUUUAUAAAAUAUUCAAUGUAUGUAUUUUAAAUAUAUCUUUAUGUGUUUUAAAUAUUUCACAAUAUCUAAAUACACAUACAGUAAAAAACAUACCAGGUAUUAAAAAAAAUAAUUUCUUAGCCAGAAAUUAGCAAUAUACAUGUAUAGUUUCUUGCAAUUUGAUAAAAAAAAUAACAGUAUUAAACAUUAAAUUGUGUACUGUUUUCUUAACCCCAAGUUUGUGAAAUUAGGCAUUUGAAUGUUUAUGUUACUGUUCAUGACACAUGUUUCGUUUGGAAAUUAAGUAAAUCUUUUGGAACAUCUAUUUAAUAGCGCUGACCCAGGCUCUUAAGGUCCUUGAUGUUUUAGCUCAGAUGAGCUCAUAGGAUCGAUGAAUGUCUGUUGUCCGUCCUUCUUCUUUUUACUCCCCGUUGGUUUUUUUUUUCCUGCUCAUAGAUCGAGAAACUUGGUCAGGAUGAUUGUUUGGAGGAAUUGUAGGUCAAGUUCAAAGACGGGUCAUCAGGGGUCAAAAACUAGGUCACUAUGCCAUUGACAAAAAUUGGCUACCUGUACUAAGGUGAGCGAUAUAGGGCCAUUAUGGCCCUUUUGUUUUAAUUCUACCCUUAACACAAUCAGGAAUAAGUUUACAAAUCUUGCAAAAAAACAUUUCUUAUUUCUUGUCCAUUUCGUUUCAAUUUUUGAAUAAUUGUAGUUCUAUAUGUAAUUAGAACACCAUUUAAAUUUCAUUAAUAUACCUUACGUAAAAAUGUGUUAAAUUUGAUGUCAAAAGUGAAUUUCCCAGCAGGAUUCUCAGGGUUUGUAAUUCUUAACUAAUAAAUCAUUUUUAGCCUUAUAUAGAAGCAAAACAAAAUUGGUCCUGUCAAUUUCAUGAGUCAGUCAGGGAUCUCCAAACAAUAGAAAUUUUAAAGGGGCCUUUUCACAGAUUUUGACAUGUAUUGAAGCUUGUCAUUAAAUGCUUUAUAUUGAUAAAUUUAAACAUUGGAACUAAAAAAUCUCCAGUAAAAAACAACAAGAAUACAAUUUGAAAAAGGAAAAAAAGUAAGCCUCAACUGGACUCGAACCACUGACCCCUGAGGUCCUGGAGUAAAAAGUCACCCGCCUAGACCACUCGACCAAACAUGCUGAUGCUAUGACCGGAUGUAUUUUUUUAAUGAAAUAAGCAAUCCUCUUAGUUUCCCAAAUUAUAACGACAACAACAGAACUUUCCAAAUUAUUCAAUCGUUUGGCGUUGCAACGCUUUAUAAUUCCAAGGUUUUCAAAUUGUCAAAAGAUGCAUAUAAUGAAUAUUUUAGAGCAUGGUAAAUGUUCAGUAUUACUAUUUCCUCACAAAUAUCAUUGCUAAAACGAAAAUGUGCGAAUAUGAAACAUUUUUUGAUUUUUUUUUCAAUUUACCAAAGCGUGAAAAGGCCCCUUUAAGGUCAGCCUUAUAAAAGAUAAAUUGCUCUGCUACACAGCAGAUGUCAUAAAUAAGAUAUAAAAAAAUGUACCUCGUGA
Molecule: long non-coding RNA, 2481 nt
Organism: Dreissena polymorpha
Lineage: Eukaryota; Metazoa; Mollusca; Bivalvia; Myida; Dreissenidae
Exons: 4
Source: RefSeq, a predicted model, not a curated record